CAAACUUUCUCCUCGGUUGUUUAAAUUUCCUCUCAAUACACUCACUCACAUCCGGUAUUCUAACAAAGCCAUCUUUCGAUCAUCUUUCCUGUACCCUACAGAGCUGCUCCAGCCUGGACUAGUUUAUUUCUAGGCUGAGUACAUGGCUAUACUUGGAUCUCCCUUUGCCUUUAUCUCUGGGAUUUCCUUUGCUCUUUCUUGGAUUGACGUUCUCAUUUCCCAGACUCCAUGUCUUCCUCUUUCUUGCUUUGCCUCAUAAUUUUGGACUUACCUAGUAGCUUCUUCUUCUUUUUUUUUUUUUUCCUUUUUCACAUCAGAUGGGAAAUGUGCCAACGUCACAACAAGGUUUGAGGGAGGCACAUCUCAUGCUCGGACAUGAACACCCGAUCAUCAUGCUUAUGAACUACAAAAGGAUCUCCAGUAUGGGCUCACGGCAGUUGGCCCUUGAAUAACAUGAAUUUGAACUGCCUGAGUCUGCUAAUAUGUGGAUUAUCUUCUGCUUCUGCACCCUGAGACAGCAAGACCAACCCUUCCUCUUGCUUCUUUUCCUUAGCCUAUUCAACGUGAAGAUGACUAAGUUCACAGAGUUUGAGAGAAACUGUAUUCAAGUUGCUGAAACCAAGAAGCUACACUCACGAGUCUCACCUAAACUCGAAUCUGAUUUAGAUGACAUCAUCCUGGACUUUGAGUUGAUGAAACCUUGGAGGUCUUGGGAGUAAAGCAAGUGUGAUUUGCAUAUGAUGGAUAUGAAUUGUAAUGGCCAGAGCAUGGCUGUGGUAGGUAACAUCUAGAGAUGGCCACCAUUAUUUUUUUUUUCCUCUAUCCGCACAUACUACUUCUCCUGUACUCUUGAAACUGGGAUGAAAUUAGCAACUUUGUUAACCAAUAUAAUGUGCCACAGAAGUGACUUUUGCGACUUGUGAGGUUAGAUCUUAAGAAGUCUUGUAUCUUCUUUCUGGAUCACUUGGAAUGCUUACUACGGGAACCAAGCCACUGUUCUAUGAGAAGUGCAAGUCACAUGGAGAAACCAUGUUUUGGCAAGCUAGUCUGCAUCUUCAGAGAUGAAAACUCCCAUUUUAGGGAACCAAGACUGAAUUCCAUAAUUUACAUGGAUGUUUGGAAGGUGUCUGCAACUUAAUCUGUGUUCGUUUCUGAGAUGUUGGGCAACUCCUUCUUGGAAGAUGUGGUAAUGGUCUCUUCGAAAAGAAAAUAAUCAUCUGAGUUUUGGCCAAAAUAGUUGAUCGGAUUACCUAUGAAAAUGACUCUCACCCAACUACAAGAAUGUUAUGAUGUAGAAACUCUAAAUAUAUGAGUAAUUAACUAUACAACACUCCAUCCCCAUGUGAAAAUCUUUAAUCUUUUAAGAUACUGAAAUUUUGUGUAUGUCUCAUAAUUUUCUGUAUAUGGUCAAUGAGUUUUGCCUUAGCCAUAAGUGGUCUGUCUGAAAUCUUCUCUAUUAUUUGUGCAUUUUCUUCCUGAUGUACCAAGCCUAGUCUGUUUGUUUUUUCCUAAGAGAAAAGCAGAUGAUUCAACUGUGUAUUUCUCAGUGUUGAUAUUGUGGUUUGAGGUAUUUCAUAAUCUUGAGUAAAAUCUUGUCAAUUUUAUGCUAUGCCUUGUGGGAACAUAUUUUUACUUUUAAGUCUCUUUGGCAAGUGGAGCUUCCUUUGUGUUUCCUCACCAAAUGUAUUCCCCAUUGUUUUCUGAUUAAUUCUUUUUCAGAAUGUUUACUCCUUCUUACCUCAAUGUCAUUACUUUUCAGUCUUGGCUUUGGGUAAACCUAGGACAAGAAUUGGAUAUCCAAAGCCAAUUUCAAUAUAAAAACUAUAAUAUCUAUCAAAAUCUAUGUAAAAUCCUGUGUAUAUUUCUCUUCUUUGUUGAACAGGGGCUUAUAAUCAUGUAGGUAAAUACACGUGGUUUUGAUUUCAGCACUGAUUACUGAAGAUUUGUCUUCCAUUCUUCUGGGCCAGGCCCAUACACAACCAUAGUUAGAAGUAAAAACUAUUUGUUAUACCUGGAAUGCCUUUCCUUUCAAUCUCUGAAUGUCUAAAAUUACUUUUUCUUUGAAGACCACCUCAGGUGACCCUACUGUGGGGAAAAUGCCUGAAUUAUCUUUGUAAUCCCAGCUCAGCCACUUAAAGAUUGUGUAAGUUUAGUGUCAGCAUAUUACUUAAGUUCUUUUAGAUUUAGUUUCCUCAUAUGUAAGCUGGGGAUAAUAAUACCUACCUCAUAGAAAAUGAAUGAGAAUCAAGUUAUAUAAUAUAUGAACAACACUUGACACUGUGUGUGAACACUCAAUACAUGUAAAUCAUUAUUAUUAGCAAAAUGAUUAUUAGGUUCUCAUGCUAAUCCACAAUUUUUAUUGGCAGAUAUCCAUUAGUUUAUAGUUAAUGUUAUUCAUAAUCUUUUCUUCAUAUUCAAAUAGGAAGAGAUGACUUCUCAAUCUAGUUAAUCCUGGAUGUGUAUUUCUCUUAAUUUAUUGAGUGUAAAAUGCUUAUUUAUAUACAUACAAUUUCCCUUAUUAGUGAACAUCUAGAAGGCAGAAUGGUACUUCAUUUCUUUCUGUAUGUUUAGCACCAAGGACAGUACCUGGCACAUAGAAGAUACAUAUUAAAAACAAAUAAAACAACUCUUAAUGGAUCUCAUUUUAAAAAAAUUCUCGGUUAAUUAUAAAGGCUCUAGUAAACCAAAUAAUUGUAUGUUAACUUAUUUACUUUUAUUACUGUGUUUAUUUUCUCCAACUGCUUCAUCAUACAAAGUAAACACCUGAAUGUAAGCUGCAUGAGGGCAAGAGCUGUGUCUUGUUUACUGCUCUCAAGAACAUUUGAGCAAAGUGCCUGGCACAUGGCAGACACUCAAUAAGUUACAAUUAAUACUCAAUGUAUGAACUGAUCUAUACUUAGAAUUGACUAAGAAGAAUAAGUCUUACACAGACUCAGUCUCUGAGAACUUGAAAAUCUAAGUUUGCAUAUCUCUGCUGUUGUGUUUUCAGGUUACUCAGUAGAAAACCAAGUUAUUUACACAUCCUCAAGUGUCUCAAGGUUAAAUCUUCCAUGCAUAAAAUAUCUGGGCGAUUGAUUGUGUUUCUUACUUUGCUCCUAAGUAUGUUAGCAUCAUAUAGGCAUAGCCUAAGCCAGACCAAAAUGAAUUCAUUGAUUGACUCAACAAAUGUUUAUGGAUCUCAG
Molecule: long non-coding RNA, 3182 nt
Filed under: Homo sapiens (human)
Lineage: Eukaryota; Metazoa; Chordata; Mammalia; Primates; Hominidae
Description: HSALNT0142882
Source: RNAcentral